GGCCACCGUUUCGGCUUUUGUUGGUUCUAGAAGUCCUUGGGAGAUUAUGGGGCCGCGUGCCUUGGGUCGGUGUUUCGUGUCUAAUUUUUGUGGCGCGCACAUUCGGCUCUUCGUGAUGUUUUUUUACAUUCAUUGCGACGCGCGGCUUCCAGGAAUGAAGGAGGGUAGUUCGGGGGAGAACGUACUGGUGCGUCAG
RNAcentral lists this ribosomal RNA (196 nucleotides) under Trypanosoma brucei. RNAcentral's name for it is "partial small subunit ribosomal RNA". Lineage: Eukaryota; Euglenozoa; Kinetoplastea; Trypanosomatida; Trypanosomatidae. The record is from RNAcentral.